This 71-nucleotide transfer RNA is filed under the name Dipodomys ordii (Ord's kangaroo rat). It matches the Rfam family "tRNA". From Rfam's summary of the family: Transfer RNA (tRNA) molecules are approximately 80 nucleotides in length. Their secondary structure includes four short double-helical elements and three loops (D, anti-codon, and T loops). Lineage: Eukaryota; Metazoa; Chordata; Mammalia; Rodentia; Heteromyidae. The record is from Rfam by way of RNAcentral.
GGGGAUGAAGCUCAGUGGUAGAGCACUUGCCUGACAUGCAGGAGGCCCUGGGUUCCAUCCCAACAUUGUUG